GUCCCACACGUUUAAAGAUGUCAUCACAUGUUCCGGGGUCCGGUUUGACAACAAGUGGACUUGGAAGUUCAGUCUGUAAUGAAUUAGAGAUAACAACUAACUGGAAUGGAUGCGGUGGUCUCGAUGGGAGUGAAAUCCCCGCACGUGGAACAGGCUUUAAACACAGCACGAGAAGCAGCCACACAAACAGAUUUCAGAGGAGUGAGCAUCCAUUGCCCUCAAGAGAUAGAGGAGCAAUGCUUUCCUCGCUGAACCCAGCUCUGGUUUGAUCCUCAAGAUGAAGAAACCCAAUUUAUCCCCCGGAGUAUGAGAAUUCCCCAUCAUCCUCUCCAAAUACACACCAGUGACUUGGAUCCAUCAAAUGGCUCCUGGAGACUUUAUUGUUGACUGGAUUGGAGCCUAACCCAGACUACUGCCAAAUUCUCGGUAUCCUCAAGUGGCUGCAGUAGCUAUUUUGAACUUAACAAGUGCGACCACUGGAUGACAAGUGGUGAGAAACACUUCAUAUUACAAACACAGUUGAUGGCUCAGAGCAGGCAUGGUUCAUAAUCACCGUGGCACUUUGCUGCGCUGCUUCAUCAUCAACUAUGGUGGCUGGCUCCCUGUGUCAGCAGUUGAGACAAUGGCAGUGUGUGCAUGAGGGUGAAUGUGUGUUUAUGUUUGUGUGUGUG
Molecule: long non-coding RNA, 671 nt
Organism: Pleuronectes platessa (European plaice)
Lineage: Eukaryota; Metazoa; Chordata; Actinopteri; Pleuronectiformes; Pleuronectidae
Exons: 3
Source: RefSeq, a predicted model, not a curated record